This 493-nucleotide ribosomal RNA is filed under the name uncultured bacterium. Its description in RNAcentral is "partial 16S ribosomal RNA". It matches the Rfam family "Bacterial small subunit ribosomal RNA", at positions 29 to 523 of the family's 1533-position model. The record is from RNAcentral.
AUUGAACGCUGGCGGCAUGCUUUACACAUGCAAGUCGAACGGUAACAGGUUAAGCUGACGAGUGGCGAACGGGUGAGUAAUGCAUCGGAACGUGCCCGGUCGUGGGGGAUAACGCAGCGAAAGUUGCGCUAAUACCGCAUACGAUCUGAGGAUGAAAGCGGGGGACCGUAAGGCCUCGCGCGAUCGGAGCGGCCGAUGUCAGAUCAGGUAGUUGGUGGGGUAAAGGCUCACCAAGCAAACGAUCUGUAGCUGGUCUGAGAGGACGCCCAGCCACACUGGGACUGAGACACGGCCCAGACUCCUACGGGAGGCAGCGGUGGGGAAUUUUGGACAAUGGGAGAAAGCCUGAUCCAGAAAUGACGCGUGCAGGAAGAAGGCCUUCGGGUUGUAAACUGCUUUUGUACGGGGCAAAAAGGUCUCCUCUAAUACAGGGGGCUCAUGACGGUACCGUAAGAAUAAGCACCGGCUAACUACGUGCCAGCCGCCGCAGUAA